AGCUUCACUUUGGAAGCACAUAUACAGAAAGUGGAAUGAUACAAAGAAGAUUAGCAUGGCGCCUGCUCAAGGAUGAUGUGAAAAUUCAUGAGGCAGUCCAUACUUUA
RNAcentral lists this small nuclear RNA (107 nucleotides) under Castor canadensis (American beaver). The record is from RNAcentral. Lineage: Eukaryota; Metazoa; Chordata; Mammalia; Rodentia; Castoridae.